This 449-nucleotide ribosomal RNA is filed under the name uncultured bacterium. RNAcentral describes it as "partial 16S ribosomal RNA". It matches the Rfam family "Bacterial small subunit ribosomal RNA", at positions 29 to 523 of the family's 1533-position model. The record is from RNAcentral.
AACGAACGCUGGCGGCAUGCCUAACACAUGCAAGUCGAACGAGACCUUCGGGUCUAGUGGCGCACGGGUGCGUAACGCGUGGGAAUCUGCCCUUGGGUUCGGAAUAACAGUUGGAAACGACUGCUAAUACCGGAUGAUGUCUUCGGACCAAAGAUUUAUCGCCCAGGGAUGAGCCCGCGUAGGAUUAGCUUGUUGGUGAGGUAAAGGCUCACCAAGGCGACGAUCCUUAGCUGGUCUGAGAGGAUGAUCAGCCACACUGGGACUGAGACACGGCCCAGACUCCUACGGGAGGCAGCAGUGGGGAAUAUUGGACAAUGGGCGAAAGCCUGAUCCAGCAAUGCCGCGUGAGUGAUGAAGGCCUUAGGGUUGUAAAGCUCUUUUACCCGGGAUGAUAAUGACAGUACCGGGAGAAUAAGCCCCGGCUAACUCCGUGCCAGCAGCCGCCGUAA